Molecule: long non-coding RNA, 1391 nt
Organism: Nematostella vectensis (starlet sea anemone)
Lineage: Eukaryota; Metazoa; Cnidaria; Anthozoa; Actiniaria; Edwardsiidae
Exons: 2
Source: RefSeq, a predicted model, not a curated record
UACCUCAAAAAAGGGAAUACUGACGGGGUCCGCUUGAUAAAUUAACCUACUCCCCAAGCCCUAUAGCCGGCUCUUCAGUCGGUUAAUUUGGAAAUUCGGUUUUCGGGAUUCCUGUGGUGAGCAAAACCCUGAAAACGAUUAUUACCCCGAAAACACACAGGAGUACCGGCUCGCAGACUACAAGCACCCUCAAAUCAUUCCCCCACCCCUCCCCCCAAAAAACAUAUCCUUUUGUACAGACAGCUUUUCCGUGGCCUGAGAUUGGAGAUAGGCCGUGUUAUGCCCCCUUUACAUUCUUACAGUAGAAUAAUAUUAUAUUUAUUCUAACUUUCCAUAGAGUAGCAAAGGUCCACAAAUGUAACAUUGAAAGAUAUAUCUGCUAACUGUGUAUGAUUUAUUAUUUCGAUGAAAUGCGUGAAAUGACGUUCAUUGUAUUCCAAUUUAGAAUUGAAGUGAUGUAUAAGCCUAAUGAAAAUAAUGUGAUUACUUGCUUUUUACACAAGUGGCUCUCUUUAUCCCUAUACGGAUUUCAAUUAACUUUCAAUCUGUCCUCACAUUCUUUUUAGAAAGUAUGUAGUAAAGUGUUUGAUUUUACGCCAGAGAUCCUUGACACAGUAAAGUAGUAAUUGAUCACCUCUACGGGGCACAGAGAACAUAUGGGAGAACAGAGCUGCCUUUUGUCUCGACGACAAUUAAUUUUCACGGAGUUUGGCUUUUUUGAAUAAAUUAACCUAGCAAGACGCUGUUUUUGUAGUGUGAUUAUAUCAAGAUCGCGCAGGUAUCGCAUACCGCGAAAAGGCGCAAAACCAAGCUGUAAAUAUGGUUGAGACAACGACCGCCAUUGUGGUUUCUUCAAUUCUCUUCGUUGCUUUUUUUAUUGGAUGGCUUAUGACAAUUAUCUGUUGCAAGUGUCGAUCUCCGAAAGCUAAGAACAGUGAGCGAAACAUGUAUUCCCCGCCACGAGAUAUAGAAGAAGAAGAAAAAGAGGCUAUGGUACGACACUCUGGGGAACGAACACAAGAGAAAUCUUUUAGUGUGGAGGUUUGAUUAUUUACAACAUUCAUUUUCUACGUAAUAACAACACAUAAGUACUGCAAGCGAAGAAUCACACAAUCGUUUAAAAACACGGGAAGAUUUUAAAAUUAGGGGGAGUUUUGCAACUAUGGCCAUGAACAUUUCAUCGAAAUAUUACAGGAAUGGAAGCCCUUGCGUUAGCAGCUCUUUAGAAAACUACGGUAUCACUGCUUUCAAGAGUGUAAGGGAUUUAAGGAGUGGUAAUUCCUUAACAAGAUCGAUCAAAGAAAAGACUAAGUAAAAUGAGAGACGCUUCAACCAGGUUCACUGCAAACUUUAUAUAUAAAAAAUGGAAAUAAAAGAAUGUUAUCACCUUU